GUAAAUGUCUGUGUCUGUCGGUGAGACAGAGGACGUGGGCGCCCGCCGAAGUACGUGUGCGCGCGCGCGCGUUUGCAGGAAAACGUGCAUGGAUUUCUUCGGUGUGGCAGUGUGAGAAGGCGCCUAGGCGCUGUCCGUAGUGCUGAAAUGGUGCGUGGUGAGACCUGGCUCCCAAACACAAGCUAGAAGACAACCAAACAGCAACCAGGAAACGCUCUGAAAAAGCCCUAGAUAGCUGCCAGGUGAUGCCAGAGAUUACUAGUUUUGGGGCCAAUUAAAGUAGCAAGAUGCAGCCAGCAGUGGUGGCUCAUGUCUGUAAUCCUAGCACUCUGGGAGGCCGAGGUAGGAGGAUAACCUGAGGCCCAGCUCAAGGGAGCAGAACUAAAGUUACAUGAUUCUGCUGUGGAUGUAUGAGCUCCACUCCAAUAAUUUAUUAUCAUGGUUGGAGACUUUGACUUGUCACUUUAUGACUUGAAAUAUGGCU
RNAcentral lists this long non-coding RNA (484 nucleotides) under Pongo abelii (Sumatran orangutan). Its description in RNAcentral is "lincRNA". Lineage: Eukaryota; Metazoa; Chordata; Mammalia; Primates; Hominidae. The record is from RNAcentral.